CCUACGGGAGGCAGCAGUGGGGAAUAUUGGACAAUGGGGGGAACCCUGAUCCAGCCAUGCCGCGUGUGUGAAGAAGGCCCUCGGGUUGUAAAGCACUUUCAGUGAGGAAGAACGCCUGGUGGUUAAUACCCAUCAGGAAAGACAUCACUCACAGAAGAAGCACCGGCUAACUCCGUGCCAGCAGCCGCGGUAAUACGGAGGGGGCGAGCGUUAAUCGGAAUUACUGGGCGUAAAGCGCGCGUAGGUGGCUUGAUAAGCCGGUUGUGAAAGCCCCGGGCUCAACCUGGGAACGGCAUCCGGAACUGUCAAGCUAGAGUGCAGGAGAGGAAGGUAGAAUUCCCGGUGUAGCGGUGAAAUGCGUAGAGAUCGGGAGGAAUACCGGUGGCGAAGGCGGCCUUCUGGACUGACACUGACACUGAGGUGCGAAAGCGUGGGUAGCAAACAGGAUUAGAGACCCUAGUAGUC
This 465-nucleotide ribosomal RNA is filed under the name Vreelandella stevensii. RNAcentral's name for it is "partial 16S ribosomal RNA". It matches the Rfam family "Bacterial small subunit ribosomal RNA", at positions 338 to 795 of the family's 1533-position model. Lineage: Bacteria; Pseudomonadati; Pseudomonadota; Gammaproteobacteria; Oceanospirillales; Halomonadaceae. The record is from RNAcentral.